Molecule: RNA transcript, 2444 nt
Organism: Oncorhynchus gorbuscha (pink salmon)
Lineage: Eukaryota; Metazoa; Chordata; Actinopteri; Salmoniformes; Salmonidae
Gene name: Fanconi anemia group J protein homolog
Exons: 5
Source: RefSeq, a predicted model, not a curated record
GUAAGGUCUGCUAGCUGACCCCCAUUACCAGAAGAGGGAACAGGACAUGACACUAAUGACUGUCAGGUCCAGGUCAUUGUGACUGUUUGUCCCCACGGCCCCUCUGACAGCUACGCUAAAACAACCAAGCAGGCGCCGGGCAGGCAGGAAGCCACAGGUGGAGCUGAAGAUGAAGUAUAAUGACCAGCACUGUAAAGCCAGGGGUCUGCUGUCAGGCUCCCACUGGUAUGAGAUCCAGGCCUACAGAGCCCUCAACCAAGCCCUGGUCAGGUGUAUUAGAUGACUGGGGAGCCCUCAUUCUGGCAGACAACCGGUUUGGGAUCAACCCCAACAAAUACAUCUCAGGUCUGUACAAGUGGGUGCAUAACCUUUUCAGGCACCACAACGCCUUCAUCUGUGCUAUGCAGUCGCUGAUGACCUUCUCCAGGUGCCAACAGGGGGCAGGAGAGACACAUGGAGCAGGGAGCCAGAUGUUCAACAGCACCACCAUCCUGUUCAGCCAGUCAAUCUCUAGUGACUGUGGAAGAUCUGUCCCACUGUCGGCCCAGUCCUAGCCCCAGCUCAGACAGCCUUCUCUGGGCCACGAUGCACCACACUACCACCUCUCAGGUGACCAGAAGCAGACAUAGCAACACCCCUCCGCUCAUCUGAAGAGUGAUCCCAAGGCCCCUCCCCCACUGUCUCCACCACCCACGGCCCCUGCACCACCUCCACCCCUGUGAGCUCCACCCACUUCAAGACACCCCCAUCUUCCGGGACCCAGGCCGGCGUUGUGGUCCUCUGGCCGUCCCGCCUCGGCCUGACUAUGGGGAGGGGGAGAAGGAGAACCAGGAGAAUGUAAGUCUGGAUCCCCUGCCCAGGAAGGAAGGCCCGUAAGGGGAUGGAUGGACCGGCAGCUACCCCUCCCAGCCAGGACCAGAGCCCAGACGAUCCCACCCUGCUAGAGGAGGACCAGAGCAUCUUCACACCUGAGAUGUUUGAUGAUGAAGAGGAUGUGGACCAAGCCUCUCCCCAGGACAGUACAUUGGACGAUGACAGGGGAGGGAACUGUGCUUGCGGCCAGCCUUGCUCUAACUACCGGAACAGCCCAGGCUGUGUCUGAGGACCUGUUUGGCCCAGAGCAGGGGCACAGGAACGGUCAUUACCACUGAUACCGAGGGGUGGCGCUCUUGCUCCCUCAGCUAGUAGAGACUGUCAGUGUGAUAUGGGAACAGGACAGGCAGCGAGAGUGGUGACAAGGCCCAACAGCAAGAGACCCAGAGAAAGGAGGACCAAGGUCAGGGAGAAGGACAGGAGGUGAACCAGACCCAGGCGCAGGGUCAGACCCAGGGGGGACCCAGAACAGGCAGACAGGCAGCAGGACACGCAGGCUUUCCAGGUCCAGACAGAAAGCAUCCUAAACUAACCAGCUAAUUCUCUGUUGUCCCUCAGGUUAUAUCCAUAGAUGACUAGACACCAGUUUAUAACUGUAGAUGACUAGGCACAAGGGCCUGUAUUCAGAGGCUCAGUAGGAGUGCUGAUCUAGAAUCAGCGCUUCUUUUUAAAUCAUUAUUAAAAUUAUAUGGACAGGGAGACAUGAUCCUAGAACAGCAUUGGAACUGAAACUCUUUAUAAACAUGGGCCCAGGUUCCAGGUUAUAACCAUAGACUAUAGACAAUUAGACAGACACCAAGACGCUCAGUAAAGCCAGUUCUCAGAUCAUCAUGUCUCAUUAUCUAGCGUGACAGCAUGGCUGGGUCAUCUCGUCUGACCGACAUUAUCUGUUUAAACAGUCUGGAGCUAACGAACGUUGCACAAAUUGCGAUGUUAACGUGCAGUCUUCUAUUUUUGUCUUAUAUUUACACAUCAUUAAAAUGCAAGAAGAAAUGCGUCUUUAUUUUCCUGUAAACGCGAUGGAAGCAUUGUCCCGUUAUGUGUUUUAAUGAGAUGUGUUAUUUGGAGUGAGGAGAGGAGUGGGGGGAGGCAGCAUGUCUGACUUCACACAGAUAGAACUCUUCUGUUUUUACCCCAAAAUUACUGUACAAUCCUAUGAUAAAGUAAUUGUCUGAUGUAAGCUAGAGGGGGGAGGUGUGGUGUGGGAUGUGUAUCGUGUGUUUAAUGACUUGGGGAAACACAAAGGCCUUUCCAGUAACACAAGAAACCUCAGAAACCCCAUCAUCCAUUUUGAGAACAGCUCCAGGGUGACUAUAUAUCAGUAAAUAUAAAUAAUUGUGAUAUGGAAAAUUGAUUAAUGAAAUCAUGUUUGCUGGUUUUGGUUUGUGUUGUCAAGUUGAUGUGGAAGAGUGCAGAUGGGUAGAUUGAACUCUCAAUAAAGCACCUUGUAUUGGCAAGGUGUACAGUGCUUUGUUUCCCCCCUCAUCUAUCUACACACAAUAUCCAAUAAUGGCAAAGCAAAAACUAUUUUUUAGAAAUGUUUGCAAAAGUAUUACAAAAUAAAUAUGGAA